CCUACGGGCGGCAGCAGUCGAGAAUCAUUCACAAUGGGGGAAACCCUGAUGGUGCGACGCCGCGUGGGGGAAUGAAGGUCUUCGGAUUGUAAACCCCUGUCAUGUGGGAGCAAAUUAAAAAGAUAGUACCACAAGAGGAAGAGACGGCUAACUCUGUGCAAGCAGCCGCGGUAAAACAGAGGUCUCAAGCGUUGUUCGGAAUCACUUGGCGUAAAGCGUGCGUAGGCGGUUUCGUAAGUCGUGUGUGAAAGGAGCGGGGUCAACCCGCGGAGGGCACAUGUUACUGCGAGACUAGAGUAAUGUGGGGGGAACCGGAAUUCUCGGUGUAGCAGUGAAAGGCGUAGAUAUCGAGAGGAACACUCGUGGCGAAGGCGGGUUCCUGGACAUUAACUGACGCUGAUGCACGAAGGCCAGGGGAGCGAAAGGGAUUAGAUACCCGGGUAGUC
RNAcentral lists this ribosomal RNA (446 nucleotides) under uncultured bacterium. RNAcentral's name for it is "partial 16S ribosomal RNA". It matches the Rfam family "Bacterial small subunit ribosomal RNA", at positions 338 to 795 of the family's 1533-position model. The record is from RNAcentral.